This 204-nucleotide long non-coding RNA is filed under the name Phoenix dactylifera (date palm). RNAcentral describes it as "long non-coding RNA (PDAC_LNC021199)". The record is from RNAcentral. Lineage: Eukaryota; Viridiplantae; Streptophyta; Magnoliopsida; Arecales; Arecaceae.
UGCUUCCAGCUUCGGGACGAGAUCGAGGCUCUCAUCCGUCGGGGGCGUCUCGGUCGAUAUGUGAGCGACCGACGUCCCCCCGCGGACCCGCGUCCGGCCGACCCGGCUCCUCCGGAGCCUCGGGAGCAGAACCGACCCGUUGCGGGCGUGAUCCAUACUAUCACUGGGGGCUGCUCUCGGCCUGUGAGGAACGCAGGGGGCUCG